AUUUGAAACGGUUUGAAAAAGCCUGAAACCGCUUGAAUACAAUUCACACCGAGUGGGUCACAGGUUCAAUCCCUGUCGCGUCCACCA
Molecule: transfer RNA, 87 nt
Filed under: Brevundimonas bullata
Lineage: Bacteria; Pseudomonadati; Pseudomonadota; Alphaproteobacteria; Caulobacterales; Caulobacteraceae
Description: tRNA-OTHER
Source: RNAcentral